RNAcentral lists this ribosomal RNA (189 nucleotides) under uncultured bacterium. RNAcentral describes it as "partial 16S ribosomal RNA". The stretch from base 60 to 189 matches the Rfam family "Bacterial small subunit ribosomal RNA", at positions 401 to 528 of the family's 1533-position model. The record is from RNAcentral.
UAUCUGCUGUGAAUAUUCUGAGCAGUGGCCGUGGGCAGCGGGGCGCGGCGGGCGAACGCGUGAAGGACGACGGCCCUAUGGGUUGUAAACUUUUUUUGUAUAGGGAUAAACCUACCCUCGUGAGGGUAGCUGAAGGUACUAUACAAAUAACCACCGGCUAACUCCGUGCCAGCAGCCGCGGUAAUUAAA